GGAUUAGAUACCCUGGUAGUCCACGCCGUAAACGAUGAGAACUAGGUGUUGGGAAGUCUUGUACUUCUCAGUGCCGUAGCUAACGCGUUAAGUUCUCCGCCUGGGGAGUACGGCCGCAAGGCUAAAACUCAAAGGAAUUGACGGGGGCCCGCACAAGCGGUGGAGCAUGCGGUUUAAUUCGAUGCAACGCGAAAAACCUUACCUACCCUUGACAUCCUGGGAAUCCUCUAGCAGUAGAGGAGUGCCUUCGGGAACCCAGUGACAGGUGCUGCAUGGCUGUCGUCAGCUCGUGCCG
RNAcentral lists this ribosomal RNA (295 nucleotides) under uncultured bacterium. RNAcentral's name for it is "partial 16S ribosomal RNA". It matches the Rfam family "Bacterial small subunit ribosomal RNA", at positions 775 to 1067 of the family's 1533-position model. The record is from RNAcentral.